Molecule: unclassified non-coding RNA, 377 nt
Filed under: uncultured Oligoflexaceae bacterium
Lineage: Bacteria; Pseudomonadati; Bdellovibrionota; Oligoflexia; Oligoflexales; Oligoflexaceae
Description: contains 16S-23S intergenic spacer region
Source: RNAcentral
UCCGGUUUAACACCGGCAGUCUCCUCAGAGUGCCCAACUUAAUGCUGGCAACUAAGGACAAGGGUUGCGCUCGUUGCGGGACUUAACCCAACAUCUUACGACACGAGCUGACGACAGCCAUGCAGCACCUGUCUCCACGUCCCCGAAGGGAAGGCAACAUCUCUGCUGCGGUCGUGGGAUGUCAAACCCAGGUAAGGUUCUGCGCGUUGCUUCGAAUUAAACCACAUACUCCACCGCUUGUGCGGGCCCCCGUCAAUUCCUUUGAGUUUUAGUCUUGCGACCGUACUCCCCAGGCGGGAUACUUAAUGCGUGAGCUACGGUACCCAGGAGGUUAACAUCCCGGACACCUAGUAUCCAUCGUUUACGGCGUGGACUAC